CCUACGGGUGGCUGCAGUGGGGAAUAUUGCACAAUGGGCGCAAGCCUGAUGCAGCCAUGCCGCGUGUGUGAAGAAGGCCUUCGGGUUGUAAAGCACUUUCAGCGGGGAGGAAGGCGGUGAGGUUAAUAACCUCAUCGAUUGACGUUACCCGCAGAAGAAGCACCGGCUAACUCCGUGCCAGCAGCCGCGGUAAUACGGAGGGUGCAAGCGUUAAUCGGAAUUACUGGGCGUAAAGCGCACGCAGGCGGUCUGUCAAGUCGGAUGUGAAAUCCCCGGGCUCAACCUGGGAACUGCAUUCGAAACUGGCAGGCUAGAGUCUUGUAGAGGAGGGUAGAAUUCCAGGUGUAGCGGUGAAAUGCGUAGAGAUCUGGAGGAAUACCGGUGGCGAAGGCGGCCCCCUGGACAAAGACUGACGCUCAGGUGCGAAAGCGUGGGGAGCAAACAGGAUUAGAUACCCCAGUAGUC
This 465-nucleotide ribosomal RNA is filed under the name uncultured Klebsiella sp. RNAcentral's name for it is "bacterial SSU rRNA". It matches the Rfam family "Bacterial small subunit ribosomal RNA", at positions 338 to 795 of the family's 1533-position model. The record is from RNAcentral. Lineage: Bacteria; Pseudomonadati; Pseudomonadota; Gammaproteobacteria; Enterobacterales; Enterobacteriaceae.